UUAGUGCAGAAAAAUAAAUUCACGGAGAACGGAAAAACAAAUGACCGGAGCUGUAAUGGUUUUGAUUUUCAAGGUUUCUUCCAAUUCUCUAUAGGUCAUCAAAAUUGAAGUUGGAGGCCAUCAACUACCAUGGCUUUGCUUACUAAUACCUCAGCUAAUAUCUACUCUGUAACCAACCACGUAUCAUGGUCAAAUUCUACCUUCAUGGGUGGGAAGUUCACUGCCCUCUAUCUAAUUGAUUCUUGUCAGUUCUUGCAGUUACCUGCCAAAUCACCUAGCGGCGAUAAGUUUCGCACAAGGACUUUUGCGAGACGGAAAUCAGUGAAAAAAUGGACAAGGGAUGAGCGGUCACAAAAUGGUAUAGCUCUGGAAAGUACUGAGAAGGGUUUAGAAGAAGAGAGAGUAGUGUUAUCAGAUAAGUCUUCUUUAGAGGAUAAUUCUGUGGAGCCUGUGCAAAGUACACUCAACAAUAUCGCUUCAAGAAGUGAUGUGCUUCAGGCAUGCACUGUCACUUCUGGGUUGAUAGCUGCUUUGGGUAUAUUAAUUCGACAGGUGUCUCAUGUCGCAUCAAUGGAAGGACUGCCAAUCCUCGACUGCUCUACAGAAGUCUCAUUUGGUAUUGAGAUGUGGCAUCUUGAGUUGAUUACAGGAUUGGUCAUACUGAUUUCAUCAUGCAGAUACUUGCUACUGAAGACAUGGCCAGAUUUUGCUGAAUCAACAGAAGCAGCCAAUCAGCAGGUCCUUACAUCAUUACAACCUUUGGAUUACUUAGUUGUUUCAUUCUUGCCGGGAGUUACUGAGGAACUUCUUUUCCGAGGUGCGCUGCUACCGCUCUUUGGAAUGGAUUGGAAGAGUGUCCUUCUAGCUGCUACCAUAUUUGGUGUUCUACAUUUGGGAAACGGUCGAAAGUACUCCUUUGCUAUCUGGGCAACCUUUGUUGGAUUUGUCUAUGGCUAUGCUACCAUUGUAUCCUCAAGCUUGGUCGUACCAAUGGCUUCUCAUGCACUGAACAAUCUAGCCGGUGGGCUCCUGUGGCGACACACAUCAAAGCCAGCAAAAUAGAAAUCAGAUGAUCAUUUUUUUAUUACCUGUUUUACAACAUGAACACUACCUAAUUUGACCAGUGAAAAACACGACUGCAGAGGGAUCCAUGUACAGUUUGAGAUCUUGAAUACAAAACUCCAGUCUCUCAAGUCCAAGCUAUAAGCACAUCAUCAAGAUAUGGUAUGGUUGCACAGCAAUGAGAAUCCCAAAGUCAGGAGAUAGAAAGACGCAAAACAGCAAGAGUUUCAAGUUUCCCAAGAUCAGAGUAGAGUAAAUCCAGAACGAUAUCGUUCUGGAUUU
This is an RNA transcript of Populus trichocarpa (black cottonwood), 1344 nucleotides long. RefSeq lists it as uncharacterized. The transcript has 9 exons. NCBI's taxonomy places the organism in Eukaryota, Viridiplantae, Streptophyta, Magnoliopsida, Malpighiales, Salicaceae. The record is from RefSeq and is a predicted model, not a curated record.